RNAcentral lists this ribosomal RNA (497 nucleotides) under uncultured bacterium. RNAcentral's name for it is "partial 16S ribosomal RNA". It matches the Rfam family "Bacterial small subunit ribosomal RNA", at positions 28 to 507 of the family's 1533-position model. The record is from RNAcentral.
GAUGAACGCUGGCGGCGUGCCUAAUACAUGCAAGUCGAGCGAACGGACGAGAAGCUUGCUCCUCUGAUGUUAGCGGCGGACGGGUGAGUAACACGUGGAUAACCUACCUAUAAGACUGGGAUAACUUCGGGAAACCGUAGCUAAUACCGGAUAAUAUUUUGAACCGCAUGGUUCAAAAGUGAAAGACGGUCUUGCUGUCACUUAUAGAUGGAUCCGCGCUGCAUUAGCUAGUUGGUAAGGUAACGGCUUACCAAGGCAACGAUGCAUAGCCGACCUGAGAGGGUGAUCGGCCACAUUGGAACUGAACCACGCCCCAAACUCCUAGGGGAGGCAGAAGUAGGGAAUCUUCGGCAAUGGGCGAAAGCCUGACGGAGCAACGCCGCGUGAGUGAUGAAGGUCUUCGGAUCGUAAAACUCUGUUAUUAGGGAAGAACAUAUGUGUAAGUAACUGUGCACAUCUUGACGGUACCUAAUCAGAAAGCCACGGCUAACUACGUG